RNAcentral lists this ribosomal RNA (839 nucleotides) under uncultured bacterium. RNAcentral's name for it is "bacterial SSU rRNA". It matches the Rfam family "Bacterial small subunit ribosomal RNA", at positions 524 to 1382 of the family's 1533-position model. The record is from RNAcentral.
UACGAGGGAUGCAAGCGUUAUCCGGAAUUAUUGGGCGUAAAGCGUUUGUAGGCGGGCGAGUGUGUUUAAUGUUAAAUCUUAAAGCUCAACUUUGAAAUUGCGUUAAAAACUGCUUGUCUUGAGUAUGGUAGGGGUAAAGGGAAUUCCCAGUGUAGCGGUGAAAUGCGUAGAUAUUGGGAAGAACACUAAACAGCGAAGGCACUUUACUAGGCUAAUACUGACGCUGAGAAACGAAAGGUAAGGUAGCGAAACGGAUUAGAUACCCGUGUAGUCUUACCCGUAAACUAUGGACACUAAACGGUAAAUUUUUAAUUUACUGUUAAAGCUAACGCGUUAAGUGUCCCGCCUGGGGAGUAUGCUUGCAAAAGUGAAACUCAAAGGAAUUGACGGGGGCCCGCACAAGCGGUGGAGCAUGUGGUUUAAUUCGACGGUACACGAAGAACCUUACCAGGAUUUGACAUGCUAGAUAGUUGCUUGAAAGAGUAACGUGCCGUAAGGAAUCUAGACACAGGUGGUGCAUGGCUGUCGUCAGUUCGUGUUGUGAAAUGUUGGGUUAAGUCCCGCAACGAACGCAACCCUUGUCUUUAGUUAUUUUCUAAAGAGACUGCCUGUAAUAAACAGGAGGAAGGUAAGGAUGAGGUCAAGUCAUCAUGCCCCUUAUGUCCUGGGCUACACACGUGCUACAAUGGGAAAGACAAUGAGCUGCAAAUCUGUAAAUUUAAGCAAAUCUCUUAAACUUUCUCGUAGUUCGGAUUGUGGGCUGCAACUCGCCCACAUGAAGUUGGAAUCGCUAGUAAUCGCCAGUCAGCUAUAUGGCGGUGAAUCCGUUAACGGGGCCU